GGGCGGCGGAGCGGGGCUGUGGAAGCAGUCGGGCCCAGGAGGUCCCGGUAUUUCCCUGUUACCCCAGCCUAAACUGAGUCCAGGCCAGUAUAUCGCAGUCCAUCCCAGUAUAACCCAGGCCAGGCCAGUAUCAACCAGUUUAGCUCAGUAUCAUGAAAUACCCUGAGCUGGAAGGGAUCCACAAAAAUCAUCAAAGUCCAGCUCCCAGCGCUGCACAGCACCAAAAGUAAAGCCUUGCGCCCGAGUGUCGUCCAAACACUUCUGGAAUUCUUGUCAGGCUUGGUGCUAUGACCACUUCCCUGGGGAGCCUGUUCCAGUGCCCAACCACUCUCUGGGUGAAGAAUCUUGUCCUGGUAUCCAAGCUAAGCCUCCCCUGACUCAGCUUCAGGCCAUUUCCUUGAGUCCUGUCACUGGUUGUGAGAGUGAAGAGAUCUUAUAAUCUUAUAUCUACCCUUCCACUUCCCUUUGUGAAGAUGUUGAAGAGCACAGUGAGGUGUCCCCUCACUCUUCUCUAGACUGAACAAACCAAAUGCUAACUCAGGUUCUUCUAGCACCCUUUCAUUUGGAGAAUACCCCUUCGCUGGAGUGUGGAGACAAGCUUUAACUCUAGGUUUCAGGGAAGAUCUGCAGAAGAAGCAGUCUUACAAUUGCAAUCAAAACCCAACAGCAUAUUAUUAAGCUGUGAGUGUCUACUAAGCUUCUUUCUUAUAAAGAACUUUGCCAUGAUGUUAUGAAAUUUUAUCAAGGAGGACAAGCACGCACUGGGGAGAGAGAUAAUCACAGUUUACAGGUUGUUGGGGUCAUGAAGAUUCUGGCCUCUAUAUUUAAUUUUUCAGUGUGGUUGUCAUAGGAACAAACAUCUAUUAUUUCAUAAUAAACACUGCUGUUACACAUGUUGACAGUUUCAUUUACAAGCAAUAAUAUUUUCUUUCUGUGUACAAGCAAAGAAAGCCUUGAACACAGGAACUAAAAACAGUAUUCUGUAUUCUUAAAUAAGAAUUAAGUAAAGCACAUCAGAGUCACCUCUUCCUCAUGACUCUGUGAUGUUCUC
Non-coding RNA from Cyanistes caeruleus (blue tit), 1051 nucleotides. The record is from RefSeq and is a predicted model, not a curated record. Lineage: Eukaryota; Metazoa; Chordata; Aves; Passeriformes; Paridae.